GACGAACGCUGGCGGCGUGCCUAAUACAUGCAAGUAGAACGCUGAAGGGAGGAGCUUGCUCUUCUUGGAUGAGUUGCGAACGGGUGAGUAACGCGUAGGUAACCUGCCUUGUAGCGGGGGAUAACUAUUGGAAACGAUAGCUAAUACCGCAUAACAAUGGAUGACACAUGUCAUUUAUUUGAAAGGGGCAAUUGCUCCACUACAAGAUGGACCUGCGUUGUAUUAGCUAGUAGGUGAGGUAACGGCUCACCUAGGCGACGAUACAUAGCCGACCUGAGAGGGUGAUCGGCCACACUGGGACUGAGACACGGCCCAGACUCCUACGGGAGGCAGCAGUAGGGAAUCUUCGGCAAUGGGGGCAACCCUGACCGAGCAACGCCGCGUGAGUGAAGACGGUUUUCGGAUCGUAAAGCUCUGUUGUAAGUCAAGAACGAGUGUGAGAGUGGAAAGUUCACACUGUGACGGUAGCUUACCAGAAAGGGACGGCUAACUACGUGCCAGCAGCCGCGGUAAUACGUAGGUCCCGAGCGUUGUCCGGAUUUAUUGGGCGUAAAGCGAGCGCAGGCGGUUUGAUAAGUCUGAAGUUAAAGGCUGUGGCUCAACCAUAGUUCGCUUUGGAAACUGUCAAACUUGAGUGCAGAAGGGGAGAGUGGAAUUCCAUGUGUAGCGGUGAAAUGCGUAGAUAUAUGGAGGAACACCGGUGGCGAAAGCGGCUCUCUGGUCUGUAACUGACGCUGAGGCUCGAAAGCGUGGGGAGCGAACAGGAUUAGAUACCCUGGUAGUCCACGCCGUAAACGAUGAGUGCUAGGUGUUGGAUCCUUUCCGGGAUUCAGUGCCGCAGCUAACGCAUUAAGCACUCCGCCUGGGGAGUACGACCGCAAGGUUGAAACUCAAAGGAAUUGACGGGGGCCCGCACAAGCGGUGGAGCAUGUGGUUUAAUUCGAAGCAACGCGAAGAACCUUACCAGGUCUUGACAUCCCGAUGCUAUUUCUAGAGAUAGAAAGUUACUUCGGUACAUCGGUGACAGGUGGUGCAUGGUUGUCGUCAGCUCGUGUCGUGAGAUGUUGGGUUAAGUCCCGCAACGAGCGCAACCCCUAUUGUUAGUUGCCAUCAUUCAGUUGGGCACUCUAGCGAGACUGCCGGUAAUAAACCGGAGGAAGGUGGGGAUGACGUCAAAUCAUCAUGCCCCUUAUGACCUGGGCUACACACGUGCUACAAUGGUUGGUACAACGAGUUGCGAGUCGGUGACGGCAAGCUAAUCUCUUAAAGCCAAUCUCAGUUCGGAUUGUAGGCUGCAACUCGCCUACAUGAAGUCGGAAUCGCUAGUAAUCGCGGAUCAGCACGCCGCGGUGAAUACGUUCCCGGGCCU
This 1369-nucleotide ribosomal RNA is filed under the name uncultured bacterium. RNAcentral's name for it is "bacterial SSU rRNA". It matches the Rfam family "Bacterial small subunit ribosomal RNA", at positions 28 to 1381 of the family's 1533-position model. The record is from RNAcentral.